Molecule: ribosomal RNA, 279 nt
Filed under: uncultured archaeon
Lineage: Archaea
Description: partial 16S rRNA
Rfam family: Archaeal small subunit ribosomal RNA
Source: RNAcentral
GAGACCCACGCCCACAGUUGCCAGCGUACUCUCCGGAGUGACGGGUACACUGUGGGGACCGCCGCUGCUAAAGCGGAGGAAGGAAUGUGCAACGGUAGGUCAGUAUGCCCCGAAUAUCCCGGGCUACACGCGAGCUACAAUGGUUGGUACAAUGGGUAUCUACCCCGAAAGGGGACGGAAAUCUCCUAACGCCAAUCUUAGUUCGGAUCGAGGGCUGCAACUCGCCCUCGUGAAGCUGGAAUCCGUAGUAAUCGCACAUCAACAGUGUGCGGUGAAUAC